AACGAACGCUGGCGGCGUGCCUAACACAUGCAAGUCGAGCGGGAAAGUUCCCUUCGGGGAGCGAGUACAGCGGCGAACGGGUGAGUAACACGUAGGCAACCUACCCUGGAGAUUGGGAUAACCUGCCGAAAGGCGGGCUAAUACCAGAUAAGACCACGAGGGCUGCGGCCCUUGAAGGAAAAAGAUGGCCUCUGCUUGCAUGCUAUCGCUCCGGGAUGGGCCUGCGCGCCAUAGCUAGUUGGUGAGGUAACGGCUCACCAAGGCCGAGAUGGCUAGCUGGUCUGAGAGGAUGGCCAGCCACAC
Molecule: ribosomal RNA, 303 nt
Filed under: uncultured bacterium
Lineage: Bacteria
Description: bacterial SSU rRNA
Rfam family: Bacterial small subunit ribosomal RNA
Source: RNAcentral